This 229-nucleotide ribosomal RNA is filed under the name uncultured bacterium. RNAcentral's name for it is "partial 16S ribosomal RNA". It matches the Rfam family "Bacterial small subunit ribosomal RNA", at positions 568 to 796 of the family's 1533-position model. The record is from RNAcentral.
UGCGUAGGCGGAAUAUUAAGUCAGUGGUGAAAUCCUGCGGCUCAACCGUAGAACUGCCAUUGAUACUGAUAUUCUUGAAUGUAGUUGAGGUAGGCGGAAUGUGUAAUGUAGCGGUGAAAUGCUUAGAUAUUACACAGAACACCGAUUGCGAAGGCAGCUUACUAAACUAUGAUUGACGCUGAGGCACGAAAGCGUGAGGAGCGAACAGGAUUAGAUACCCUGGUAGUCC